UUGGCGGCGUGGUUAAGACAUGCAAGUCGAACGAGAGAAUUGCUAACUUGCUAAUAAUUCUCUAGUGGCGCACGGGUGAGUAACACGUGAGUAACCUGCCCCCGAGAGCGGGAUAGCCCUGGGAAACUGGGAUUAAUACCGCAUAGUAUCGAAAGAUUAAAGCAGCAAUGCGCUUGGGGAUGGGCUCGCGGCCUAUUAGUUAGUUGGUGAGGUAACGGCUCAUCAAGGCGAUGACGGGUAGCCGGUCUGAGAGGAUGUCCGGCCACACUGGAACUGAGACACGGUCCAGACACCUACGGGUGGCAGCAGUCGAGAAUCAUUCACAAUGGGGGAAACCCUGAUGGUGCGACGCCGCGUGGGGGAAUGAAGGUCUUCGGAUUGUAAACCCCUGUCAUGUGGGAGCAAAUUAAAAAGAUAGUACCACAAGAGGAAGAGACGGCUAACUCUGUGCCAGCAGCCGCGGUAAUACAGAGGUCUCAAGCGUUGUUCGGAAUCACUGGGCGUAAAGCGUGCGUAGGCUGUUUCGUAAGUCGUGUGUGAAAGGCGCGGGCUCAACCCGCGGACGGCACAUGAUACUGCGAGACUAGAGUAAUGGAGGGGGAACCGGAAUUCACGGUGUAGCAAAUCACUAGUGAAUUC
RNAcentral lists this ribosomal RNA (639 nucleotides) under uncultured Akkermansia sp. Its description in RNAcentral is "bacterial SSU rRNA". It matches the Rfam family "Bacterial small subunit ribosomal RNA", at positions 36 to 698 of the family's 1533-position model. Lineage: Bacteria; Pseudomonadati; Verrucomicrobiota; Verrucomicrobiia; Verrucomicrobiales; Akkermansiaceae. The record is from RNAcentral.